This is a non-coding RNA of Peromyscus maniculatus bairdii (prairie deer mouse), 1161 nucleotides long. The record is from RefSeq and is a predicted model, not a curated record. NCBI's taxonomy places the organism in Eukaryota, Metazoa, Chordata, Mammalia, Rodentia, Cricetidae.
UGGAUGAAACACCCACAGGAUUUCUGAACCUGGGCUUCUGUGAAGAAGAUUCAUCCCAGGAGCCAGACAUUCCCAGUGACCAGCCCCAGGUGGCACCCACAACAUCUGGAUUCAGGUCAUUCAGGGUCUGGAAGCUGGUGAAGAAGCAAAUUUCCCAUGCACUGAGAGCACUGUGCAGCUGCUGCUGCUGCUGCUGCCUGCCCACCCCAAGUGUGGAAACUGAAAUGGCCCAAUAGAAUUCCAGACCUGGUGAGGAGUGACUGCCACAGAAGUGAGCCAGAACUCAUCUCCAGAGUGCCAGCUCCCUCCAACCCAGGACAACAGGCUCCUGCCUGCAUUCAUCCUCCAGCUAUUGGGUCUGAGCUGCCAUUUUGCAUCUCUUUCAGUUUAAUCCAGCUUCAGAACUGUUGUGGGACAAUUGGGGGUCAUAAGUCACAUGGACCACAUGACUCUACCUUCCUAGCUUUGGUUGUGCUUGUAGGACCACUCACACUGCAUGGAAAACAGCAGCCUCUACCACCAGGAAGGACUUCAUACCAAACUAGGCUGCUCAUCAUCUUGGUCACUUAACCCUCCAACUUACUCUGUGACUGCCUUUUGGACAAAACAGCAAGACCUGUGUAAAUCCUCUGGAAAAUGGAGCUUCAGGGAUUGAACUGAAGGUUCUUUCAUCCAGGAUGGACUACAAACAGCAGCAAAGUCCAAAUCUAACCUUCAGAAUAGAAGUCUAUGUCCACCAGUGAACAGAUACCUGGAGGAUCCCUACUGCAGUCCAGGCACAAAACCCAUGACUUCAACCUGACCAACCAGGAGCGUCCAGAUUGGCUACCUGGUCUAAUUGAUUGAGUUCUUUCAAUUUGAGCCUUGAGAUCACAGCUGAAGACUCAAGGAGACACAGGGUGGUGACUUGCAGGUGUGGCCUGAGACAGCAGAAGUUGGAGCUCUGCAGGAAGUCCAGAAGGCAGUGUGCCCACUUCCCCAGCAUGAAGGGUCUGUGUCCAGCACAGGAGGAGGAAAGUGACAGCAAGCUGGAGGAAAAUGGGUACCACUUUGGAUGGAAUGCUGGGACAUUGCUCCACUUUGGAAAUCUGCAGGUUCUGCUGGAUAUAUUCAGACAAACCUCAUCUUCACCGUAUGUGCAUCCUGUCUCAUCUAGGCAAG